GAAAUAGCCCAGUGCCCGGUCAGGUGGCCUUGUUCGCGAGCACAUCUCGGAGCGUCUCCCCGGUCUCAAGUGUUUUAACUCAAAUGGGUGAUGAAAAGGACUCUGGAAAGUGAAAACUUUAGAUGAAAUUCUUCAGGAAAAGAAACGAAGGAAGGAACAAGAGGAGAAAGCAGAGAUAAACGCUUAAAAAAUGUAAGCCAUAUUUUUUAAGUAAGUGGUUUUCUUAAAGGAGAUUUAAUUUCUUUGCCCUCAUUUUUCCAUUAGAACAACGCUUCUUCGGUGAAGUUCUUUUGUACUUCCAAAUGUCGCAGGUGAGCCCAAAAUCUAUUCUAAAAAUUAACAAAAACAUUCAAAUAUUCAGUUGACAUUAAAGGCAGAUUUAACACACUAAAGCUGUGUCUAGAUUGAGCAUACAUGGAAAAUAAAAUAUUUUGAAUGUUAAGUCAUUAGCAAA
Molecule: small RNA, 454 nt
Filed under: Pongo abelii (Sumatran orangutan)
Lineage: Eukaryota; Metazoa; Chordata; Mammalia; Primates; Hominidae
Description: retained intron
Source: RNAcentral